Molecule: non-coding RNA, 233 nt
Organism: Pelobates cultripes (western spadefoot toad)
Lineage: Eukaryota; Metazoa; Chordata; Amphibia; Anura; Pelobatidae
Source: the annotation of a GenBank genome assembly
AUGCAUUGCGUAAAAUUUCCUUGAUAUUUAUUUCAAUCAGUUUCUGAUACAUACACUGUUGCUUUGAUUACAAUUUUAUGAAUAGCAUGAUUUGGAAUACUCUGAAAUUCUAUUAUCACCUAUAUUUAUGUGAGUUAGCAGGAAAAUAUAGCGGGGAAAAAUGUUUUUUUUUUGGAAAAAACAUGAAUUAUGAACAUGUUAUUUGGUUAGAUAAUGGCAGCCAUUCAACUUCC